GCUUAGAUAGUUUAAUUAAAACGUUGAUUUGUGGUAUCAGAAAUAUAAAGAUUAUUUUAGGCU
Molecule: transfer RNA, 63 nt
Filed under: Elliptorhina javanica
Lineage: Eukaryota; Metazoa; Arthropoda; Insecta; Blattodea; Blaberidae
Description: tRNA-His
Source: RNAcentral